This is a long non-coding RNA of Lagopus muta (rock ptarmigan), 2556 nucleotides long. RefSeq lists it as uncharacterized. Lineage: Eukaryota; Metazoa; Chordata; Aves; Galliformes; Phasianidae. The record is from RefSeq and is a predicted model, not a curated record. The transcript is spliced from 9 exons.
GUAAAAGUUUCAUUUUUCUUCAAAGCACUUUGAUUUUUUUCAGGGAACGACAUAGAAAUUUAUAUAAUACUGAGGAAAACGUAGCGUGAAGAAAAUGAGUUCUGGUGAUGCACAUAUUGAAACUUCACACUGUCCAGCAACUGGGAAUAUGGAAGGAAAAAUCAGGUUAGAAUUCUGAGUAAGCUUGAUCCCCAAUGGAAGAGAUAGUAUAUAUCUUCAAGAAAGUAGUAAAUUGUUUUUAGUAGUUGUAUGGGAACUGCUGAAUCAAGGCCUGAACCUCUGAUUGAUCACCCGAGGCAAGCAAUGAGUCAGCUAUGGGAGCACAGGUGAAGGCAAUUCACCUGUGCUGCUAUAAGGGGUGGUGCCUGGCUGCGCCUCUCCUAGACACAUUUAAGAGCUGAUUGCCAGUAGGAAAGGAUUUCUUCUGGAGUUCUCUGGAGUUUUGCAGUGAGCCCAGGGCGAGGGAAAUUUCUUGUAGUUUCGUACAGCGUUGAUAUAUCGUAGAACAACUUGCAUCAGUGAAACCUGUUAACAAGUUACAGACUCUGGUUUAGCUCCUCCGUUUGAAGGUUAUUGGCACCACUGCUUGUCUGGAAGAACAAGCUAUUUCACUCAGGAAAAUUGGACUAUGGAUAUAUGCUGUGACCAAAACCUGUGACCUGCAAUGAAACGAAGAAUAUUCUUGCAGUCUCAAAAGGUGGAUUCUGUUAUUCAGGUUGCUUUGAUUACAAAUCACAUUCCACAUUGAAGGAAUUUUUAUUCCAGUUCUCAGGAAAGCAAGAACUAAUUGAUUCAAGCAAGAGGACUCUACAAUGGAUUACUAAAGAAUCAUCUGUUAGAUGUGUCCUCAGUAAUGCUCCUUGAGAUGGAAUCUGUUUGAACCUACUAAUGUCAACCCUGAAAAAGAAAUGUCCUUCCAACACUACAAUGUUCAGUGUCUGUGUGACCUGUGAGUGUCUCUCAGCUUCCCCUCCUUACAGAUCAAUCUGUCUCAGCGGAAUUAAUGCCAGACACCUCAGCAGGCAGAAGUUCAGCCAUGUUGAGCAAAGCGGUGCUUACCUGGGAAGACAGAUGCCAAAUCCAAAUUCAAAACAUGGCACCACACAAGAAACCAUGGAGAAAAUUAACUGUCCUAACAAAAAUAAGCGGUACACGGUGGAAAAUGAAGGCAAUUUGAACAUUGUUUAUGUUAAGUUCGAUUUGGUAAUAUGACAGAAGUUGCAACAACCUGUAGCACAUUCCUUGAGGAAGGACUGAGGUGGUAGGUCUUCUGUCUGAAAGCACAUUUUACUUCAUAUUGGCGCUGUGUUUUCCAGAGCUUCAUUUGUUCUCCUAUGUUGUGGGGAAACAGGGUCUUAAAUGAGAUAUUUAAUUUUUACCUAACAUCAGCAAACGUUUGAGGUCAAGUCCUCUAAAAGAAAUAAGACUCUAUCUUGAGGUAAAACAUUUUUUCCAGAACUGAUUUUUUCUGUCCCGUAUUUCCACCAUACUUUUGUACUCAAAGUUAUUUUUUUCUAUCUUUGCUAUCUCCUACUAAGCAUAGAAAGACCUGCCUUAUCUCUAGCUUAGUCCACUGUGGGAACAUAAGAUAGUUCAGGUUUUUUUUUUGAAAGUGACAUUAGUUUGAAUAGCCUCGCUUUUAAACACCGAAAGAUAUUUUCUUCAAAUAGCCUUGCAGCAAUAAAGGAACAUCUCUAUCACUAUUGCAUUCUGCUUAAAUUGUUCUUCAAAUAUGGUAUUAAAAUCAUCUCUAGGUUUGACUACUUAAUAUACCAUUUCUAGCCUUCAGUAAUAGCUAGCUGGCUUUCAUCAUGUCAUGCUUUUCUCAUUUUUAGACUGUUUCUCAUAUGGUGUAGUCACUCAGAACACCAAGAGAAAUUAUCAACCUCUUAUUAUAACCUUUGUAACUGUUUUAAUUUUCAUUCUAAUGCAGAAUUAAUUAUUUGAACACAAAUAUCCAAAUAGCUGUCAUUACUUCUAAUUCAUUUAUUUUCAAUAAAUAAAUACAUGGGAGUUGGGGGGGGGGAGAGGAGGAAUUAAUGCCCUUGAGGGUAGUAAUAGUUUUGAAAGUCUCAAGACACUAUAAAGUGAAAAAUGUAAAGCAGAUGCUCAAGCUUUAUACCGUUCAAGUGUAUUCAAAUAUCUCAGUUUUCUUUUUCUAAAAAAUUAUUGUCCAUAUGUUUUUACACAUUUCUUUCUUUUGAAAAACAAAAUGUUUUUGUCAUUGAUCCUUGCGGUUUUCUAUUCUUCAUCUUUGAAAACUGUCAUAGUCACCUUCAAAUAUGGGCUCUGAUGAUAAAGGUCUGUCUGGGAAACAAAUCCUAUUAAUUACAUGACAAAAAUAAUUUAAUUCAAUCUUAAGGAAGAGAGAUGAGGAAGGUAAUUUCAAAGCUCAUUUCAAAGACGUGGUACCAUGUAAAUAAUUAUAUAUCUUCCUCUGGUGACUGAAGACCAUCACUGUGAUCACACUGCUAACUCUAAUUCUGAUGUUGUGUUUCCUCAUGCACGGUUAUGAAAUGUAAUGAAAUGAAAUUGUAAGUAGCUGUUAAUUAGAAU